CGGCUGAAUAUGGGCCAAGCCCAUUACGAAUAAAAGAGAAAAAAAAGGUUUUGUGGUGGAUGCCAAUAUAUACAUCAGCAUCAUACGGCUGGGGGGAGGGAUCAUCAGUUGGACGCAAAGAGGAUACAACAUCAGGAGGUUCGAUUAGCAGGAAAAAGAAGAAGGGUUCAAGAUUCAAAGCCGCAAUCAAGAUUCAAGUUCGAGUUCACAACGAGCUCGAAGAAAGAAGAAGGAGCAAGUCACUCGAAAUCACAAGCAAAUCAAGAUCGCGGUAAAUCCCUUGCAUGAUUGCGGCGCACCCGAACCGAACACAUACACGAAUCGUCGACUUUAUGCGCUUCCGGUCCAAGAUGUUGGUUUUGAUGGGUUAUCUUACCAUUUUGUUUAGUAAAUGUUGUUUUGUAAGUGACUAGUUUGUUAGUAAAAAGUUUGGAUACUAGACUUUUGUGUAGUUUGUACAAAAGGUUCAUGGCGAACCAUAUACGGUCUUAACUUUGAUUA
Long non-coding RNA from Helianthus annuus (common sunflower), 501 nucleotides. RefSeq lists it as uncharacterized. The record is from RefSeq and is a predicted model, not a curated record. The transcript is spliced from 3 exons. NCBI's taxonomy places the organism in Eukaryota, Viridiplantae, Streptophyta, Magnoliopsida, Asterales, Asteraceae.